This 1128-nucleotide ribosomal RNA is filed under the name Triticum aestivum (bread wheat). RNAcentral describes it as "partial small subunit ribosomal RNA". The record is from RNAcentral. Lineage: Eukaryota; Viridiplantae; Streptophyta; Magnoliopsida; Poales; Poaceae.
AUGGACAGUUCGACCAAACUAUUCCAUGAGUGGGAAAUCCAGAUACUUGUGCUACUCAGCUUCACACUACAAUUGUUCCUCUUCUUUGCUGGCAGGCUUCGGCGCCAAAGCAGCAGUGGGUUCCUGAGACUCUCCACCUGGGCAGCUUACUUAGGGGCAGAUUUGGCAGCAGUUUAUGCACUGGGCUAUCUCUCAAAGCGUCAAGAUGACACCACUGAAACGAACAUACUUACAAGAACCCAACCGCUAGCUAUCUUUUGGGCACCAUUUCUUCUCAUCCAUCUUGGAGGGCAGGACACCAUUACUGCUUUCGCCAUGGAGGACAACAACUUGUGGUUGAGGCAUCUGUUGAAUCUGGUGACACAAGUUGUCAUAGCUUUAUAUGUUUUCUGGAAAUCCAUCGGAAAACACAAUGUGAACCUUCUACUUGCGGGUAGCUUUGUGUUUGUUGCUGGAAUUAUCAAGUAUGGAGAAAGAACAUGGUCUCUCAAGUGUGGUAGCCUUAAAAGUCUUGAGAGCACAGAUGCAAAAAGUUACAGAAAACAAUUGCCCGAAGGAAUCUCGGAUGAUGAUGGGUUUGUCCGUGCUGCUCUGGAUUCCAUGCAUCAUACCAUUGAUAUCUUAUCCGAGCUUAGCAUGUUUGGUUCCAAAAGAGAAGAAUUAGCGGAGAUAGACAAAACUGACCAAGUGAUUCGGAUGGUCAAGCUUCAGCUUGGAAUUAUGUAUGAUGAUCUCUACACCAAGGCUCUUGUGUUCACCACUCGGAGCGGAGUCCUACUUAGGUGCAUCUCUCAGGCAUCUAUUAUUGUUGCUUUUGCACUCUUCCUUGCAAAUGACAACGAGAGGUAUAACAAAGCUGACACUAUAAUUACCUAUUCACUGUUUGCCGGGUGCUUUUUCCUAGAAGUCUGUUCAAUAUUUGUUUCCAUGAUGUCACCUUGGACAUGGACAUGGUUGAAGGUUCACAAGUGGGACACACUUGCCUGGUUCUCGUGGUUUGUCUUUCGUUGGGACAUCGGAUACCCAAGGAUGAAACAGCGGUGGCCAAAUGCGAUUGGACAGUACAACUUCCAUGGUUGGGUGACUAACAGCAACCUGCAGCCAAGAACACACAGUCAACGAAUAAUG